CGGACGGGUGAGUAACGCGUGAGUAACCUGCCUUUCAGAGGGGGAUAACGUUCUGAAAAGAACGCUAAUACCGCAUAAGAUUGUAGUUUCGCAUGGAGCAGCAAUCAAAGGAGCAAUCCGCUGAAAGAUGGACUCGCGUCCGAUUAGAUAGUUGGCGGGGUAACGGCCCACCAAGUCGACGAUCGGUAGCCGGACUGAGAGGUUGAUCGGCCACAUUGGGACUGAGACACGGCCCAA
RNAcentral lists this ribosomal RNA (237 nucleotides) under uncultured bacterium. RNAcentral describes it as "partial 16S ribosomal RNA". It matches the Rfam family "Bacterial small subunit ribosomal RNA", at positions 99 to 334 of the family's 1533-position model. The record is from RNAcentral.